Molecule: long non-coding RNA, 7949 nt
Filed under: Olea europaea subsp. europaea
Lineage: Eukaryota; Viridiplantae; Streptophyta; Magnoliopsida; Lamiales; Oleaceae
Source: RNAcentral
CUCACCGUAUAUAAGUGCCUUUGUUCAAUCGUACAUAGACCCACCUAUUUCUUUGAAUUGGAAAAAUCCGGGAAUAGUCGCGGUGUGAUCUUUGCAGAUCUGGUGGUUCUUUAUAAAUUCUUUUGGUAAUUUUUUUAUCUGCUGAGUUCUAAAUAAUUCUUGACGACUUCGGCUUGUAUUGGUACAUUCUUUUGAAUCUAUGUUUUUCUUCUUGGUGGAUAUUGUUUAAAUGUGAACACGGUUGAUUUCAGGGUCUUAUUUACUUGAGUCACCUUUCAUUUUUUGGGUUAAUAUCUCAUUCUCCUCCCUACUUUCGUAAUUGACACACGUUUGACGUUUUGUUUGAGUUAUCUUUUGAUUUCCAAUUCAUCAUUAAUGAAGUUGAUUGAUUUUAGGUUUUGCUUUCUCUAUCUCCUAUCAAUUUUUGUAGUUGAAGAAUACUUGCUGUAUGAAGUUAUAUUAUUAAGUUUUUUUAGUCAUUGAUUUUCCAAUUCAUUAUUAAUGAAGUCGAUUGACUUUAGGGUUUUGAUUUUCUGGAUUUUUGGUUUAAUAAUUUUGGUUAACAUUAAUCUUCCUUUUUACUAUUUUACAAUUGAAAGAUUUGUUAUGCUUCGUGAGUUUGUUAAUUUUAAAACUAAACCUUUUAUGCUUAUAUACUUAAAAUACCAUUUGUAAUGACCGGGAAGGUUCUGUAUGUGUAGAGAUAGAGAGUCCAGAAUUUUCAGUGUCAAUCCUUUUUUUGUUGUUAAAAGCUGGUAAAAAUGUAUUAUGUUUUUACGCGGAAUCUUGUUCAAAUGAAUUGGAAGAAAUUUAUGUUUAAAUAAGUUGGAAGUGAACUAUUUCAUUCAAGUAAGGCAAAAUGAUGGACAAUCUGAAACCACACUUACAGAUACUUUUUAGGGUUUUAUAUUGUGGACAUGUAGGGACAUAGAUGGACUCGUGCACAUUCUUCGGAGCAUUAUGUUUAAAAGGUUGAUCGGGUGUUCAGGCAUUCCCGUAAGCAAGGCAUAAGCUUCAAUGUAUACCAGAAAAAAAAAAGACAGAGUAAAGUAAUUAAAAUGCGAAAUAAUCUCAUAAUAAAUCAUAAAAUCUCUUCAAAAUUUAAAUAGAAUAAUUUAAAAUGUUCAAAAAAAUAAAAAAUAAAAAAUAAAAAAUAAAUCCAUGAAGUAACAAAAAGGAAACUAUUUCUUUAGUUGGUGGAGCAAUGGACUAUUCCCAAAGUGGACUAGUAUAAAGAUUUUUUUUAAGUUGUAGCUGGUUCCCAAGGUGGUUUAAUAGGGAGACAAUUUUUUAAUGCUUUAGCAAUAGCUAGUGAGGCAAUGGGCUAUUUACAAAGUUGGGUCCAGAGGAAUUUUUAAUAUUUUUUGCCCUGCGCCAUAAGCAAAGUAAAUAAGUCUAGAGAAUUAAAUAGUGAAUGCCUCACAAGCAUUGAAGCAUGUCUCCAGAAAUGCCACCCGAUCAGGGCCUUAAGGCGUUUUUUAUUUGCCAUGCUUUGAGAUGUUGAGAUUUUUUAAACAAUUGGAGCAUCUUCUAUGACAUGGGUCAGCAAUUGGAAAUGUCAAGAUCUGGUUUCAUUAAUGGGAAUUUCUGUUGAACAGAAUACUUAUAUUUAUGAUAUGUGGGCGGAAAAUGGGGGUUUUCUGAAUUCGGAUUAUUCAGACUAAGUCUCAUUAUUUCAGUUUUCAUUCACUCGCAUCAUUUUGCUAAUUAGUAUGCUUUAUUGCAGGCUAUUCCUGGUAGCUUAAAUACUUUUUAUUGCUUCUGAAGUUUCAUUGAUUGGAUUUGAUUUUUUCGACACUUGUUUGAUGGAUGAUGGCUAUUCCAAUGGAUGAUUACAAGGAAAAUUCAUCAAGGGAACGUGUUCAGCACCUCUUCAACAAGGUAUAUGUGUUCUUUAGUCCAAAAGAUUAUAUCUUUGUGGGUGGAAAUUGAGUUUGGCAUUCUUCAUGUGAAUGUUUGUGUCGUAUAAUGUGGCCUAGAUUACGUUUCUUUUUGUAGAACAUUGGCAAAGGGGUUACCUUCGAAAAAUCAUCCAAUUACCUCAUCGAGAUAAACGAGGCAUACAAAUGCAGAAUUAUCUUGUUUGGUUUAGUUGGCGUUUUUAAAAAGAUAUAAUUAUUAUGUUCUCUUUAAUCAAUUAUGUUUCUUUGACUGAUUUCUCAUUCCACUAUAGAAUGUUGAAUUGGAGGCCAAGCGUAGGAAAGCCGCCCAAGCCAGAAUCCCUUCUGAUCCAAAUGCAUGGCAAAAGAUGCGUGAAAACUAUGAGGCUAUUGUCCUUGAAGACCAUGCUUUUUCUGAACAAAACGACGUAGAGUAUGCUUUGUGGCAGUUGCAUUACAGGAGAAUUGAGGAAUUACGGGCACUCUUCAACGCCUCUCUAGCUUCAUCAGGACCAGCUGCACCCCCGAAUGGGGAAGUUCCUUCCCGAGCUGGACCUGAUCGACUGACCAAAAUCCGUUCCCAGCUCAAGGCGUUUCUUUCUGAGACCACUGGAUUUUAUCAUGAUUUGAUGUUGAAGAUAAGGGUAAAGUAUGGUCUACCACUGGAUAAUUUUUCCGAUGAUCCACACAAUCAAAUUUCCUCGUUAGAACAUGGAAAUAAAUUUUCUGAGAAGAAUAAGGGAUUGAUAUCCUGUCAUCGCUGUUUGAUUUAUCUGGGGGAUCUUGCACGAUACAAGGGCUUAUAUGGGGAAGGGGACUCUAAAGCUCGGGAAUUUGCAGCUGCGUCCAGUUAUUAUAUGCAAGCUUCUUCACUUUGGCCUUCUAGUGGUAAUCCACAUCACCAGGUAAACCCUUCUUGAACUUCAUAGUGGUUUUUAGUUGGCAACUUUUGUCAUUAAUUGCCUCUUCCUAUAUUUUGGAUAUGGUUGUCCUGCUUGGUUAUUAACUUGUAGUUCUCUUAAUUUUUCAGGUUGCUAUACUGGCAGGAUAUUCCAAUGAUGAACUGGGGUCUAUAUAUUGCUACUUCCGAAGCCUAGCUGUUGAGAACCCUUUCAUUACUGCAAGGGACAACUUGAUCAUCGCAUUCGAAAAGGUAACUAUUCAGUAUAUGAACAAGUACGAGGAUGUUAAGUUCAUUAAAAUUUUCACCUUUAACCUAGUAUAUAACUAUGUUCUUAUUUUUUCACUUGUUGUUAUUAUCUUUUUUACGAGUGUUAGGCUUAACUCCAUGUCUGUUCCUGAGAGUAGAGAAUAGCAUUCGUGAUUGAAAUUGGUGCUUUGUUACCUAAUAAGAACAAAACAUGAAGUAGAAAGUGCCAUUUGAUCAAGUAUUACUAUGUCACAAGGACCUCUUUUCUUGCUUCAAUUUUUCAAGAUUCUUGUUACCUUCCCAUCAACCAAUGGCACUUUUACACCAUUGUUCUCGUCAUUAAUUUUCUCUAUUUUGGCAGAAUCGUCAGAGUUAUACCCAACUUCUUGGUGAUGCUAAAGCUUUGGUGAAGGCAGCACCUUCGAGGAUGCCUGGGUACAGGAGAGGUAAAGGUGAAACUAGGACUUCUAUUAAAGAUAAUAAGGUGGAAGCAAGUUCAGCUAAGAAAAGAGCUUCUGGCGUUGCUGAUCUUUUGAAAGCCUUCAUCACACGAUUUGUUCGACUAAAUGGCAUUCUUUUCACGCGGACAAGGUCUGUUCUGAAUUUUUACACUGUUUAGUAUAUUGUGACAUUAAAAUUACAAACCAAUGAUGCUUAUACGUUUCUCAUGUUUAUCCAGCUUGGAAACUUUUGAGGAAGUCUUCUCAAUGGUUAGAAAUGAUUUGUUAGAACUUCUUUCUUCUGGGCCAGAUGAGGAGUUCAACUUUGGUUCUGAUGCUGCACUGUGUCAACUAGUAAUUGUCAGACUGAUCAUUAUUCUCAUAUUUAUUGUUCAUGAUGUGAGCAAGGAAAACAAAAACCAAUCAUAUGCUGAUAGCCUACAGCGUUCAGUCCUGCUUCAUAAUGCAUUUACUGCUACCUUCGAAUUUAUGGGUUAUGUACUUGAACGCUGCAACAAGUUGAAUGAUCCUUCAUCUAGCUUUUUAUUGCCUGGUAUCAUGGUUUUCGUAGAAUGGUUAGCCUGUAACCAUAAUGUUGCAGUAGACAGUGGUCUGGAGGAGAAGCAAGCGAAUGUUAGAUCCUUUUUUUGGAACAAUGUUAUCGCCUUCUUUAAUAAGCUCUUAUCAAGUGGAUAUGUAUAUAUUGGUGAAGAUGAAGACGAAACAUGUUUCUCCCAUGCGAGUGAGUACGAUGAAUUUGAGACUGCUAAUCGUCUUGCAUUGCCUGAAGACUUUGAAUUGAGAGGAUUCUUUCCUCUUCUUCCUGCUCAAGUUACCCUCGAUUUUUCAAGGAAGCAUAGUUUUGGAAGUGAUGGUGGCAAUAAGGAAAAGAAAGCCCGCAUUCAGAGGAUUAUUGCAGCUGGAAAGGCUCUCGCAAAUGUGGUCCAGAUUGGGAAGGAGGGAAUAUAUUUUGACACGAAGUUGAAGAAAUUCUUGAUCGGUGUUGAACCCCAAAUUUCUGUUGAUUAUCCACUCACCAGCCCUUUAGAAGAUCCCAAAAUAAAUGGUAAUUCGCUAGAAAAUUCUGUUGAGGGCCAAGUGGUUCUAGCUGCUAGGCCCAAGCUGGAGGUUGAUGCUGAAGGAGAGGAAGACGACGAGGUUAUUGUCUUCAGGCCAUCUAAGACUGAGAAGCAUGUGAGUGACUUCGCAUCAAAGUUAACUUCUUCAGAGGUUCUUGCUUCCACUGUUGGUGAUGGAAGGGUUCAUUGUGGGAAUCAGAAUGGGUCUGUUUCUGUUGGAGAUGAGAGUUUCCUCUUACAGGGUGCUCCAAGCACUGGACGAUCUAUAGCUGUUGCUAACUGCACUUCUCAGUAUAUGCUACCAGUCCAACCCAGCUUUUCAAAGUACUUGGUAGAACAAGCUCCAACCCUGAAUGGCUUGUCCCACUUGAGUUUGAUGGAAAAUGGAUCUUUUAUGAAACCUGCUCUGCAAGAUCAAUUGGGAGUGUCCCAGCCUGCUGCUUCUGCUGUUCCCUACCCUCGGUUUGUCAACACUGAUUCUGGACAUAAUUAUCCUGUUCAGAUUUCACAAACUGCUGUAACAUCUAAAUUUGAUUCCAUUAUGUACCCCAGAGCAGCUACUGAUGGCCCGUUUGUCAAACCAUCACCAGCCAUAUCAGCAGGCAUAAAAAAGAAUCCUGUGAAUCAACCUGUUCGGCAUUUUGGGCCCCCACCUGGCUUUGGUUCCACUCCUUCUAAAACUGUGGAUGAGUCAUUGAACAGCAUGACAUUGAAAAAUGAAAAUCAUUUAACCCCUCAAAUGGACGAACAUAGCUGGCUAGAUGGAUAUGAGUUAUCUUCAAAUCAAAGUGCUGGAUUUAACAAGUCCAUUAAUCAUGUGGGACCAAAAUUCCCUUCUGCGAGCAAGAACAGUGGUUCAAUGGGAAUGACAAGCUUCCCUUUCCCUGGGAAGCAAGUCUCUGUGAUGCAAGUCCAGAGUCAAAACCAGAAAAGCUGGCUCGACUAUCAGUUGCCAGAGCAUUUGAUGCAGUACCAGGAGCAGCAGCAACAAUUUCAUGGAGGAAAUCAACAUUAUGUCAGGUCAAAGAAGUAUCAAGGACAAUCUCCUUUGGAAAGUCACUUCUUUGUGUGAGAUGAUUAGGGGAGCAUAGAUGGUAAGGUGUAUUCUGCCUCUUUAGUUUUUAGUCUUCAAAUCAUUAUUUUCUUCCUUCCCUCUCUAUAGAUGGGGGGCAGUUUCCUACUAUCUUGAAAUUGACUUUAUGUUGAGAUGCUCCACUUGAAUUUCUACCACAUCAAAUUUUCUUAACGUAUUAAGGUUUGAACAGUUUGACGCGACAAAUAUCCAUGGCUGGGUUGCUAUCAUUUCCACCAUUGCUUUUGCUGAAUCUUCCGUGUUGAGUUUUUGUUGGAGCAUGGUAGUAGUUGGAGUGUUGAAGGCACCUGAUUUUGAACAGGUUUCUCUCUGUCAAUUGACUUUUUCUUUUAAGAUGUUAGUUUUUCCUUUCAAAUUACGUAAAAUAAUCAAAACGUCUGACACAGUAGCCUUUUAUUUUGAUUUUAUACUGACUGAAUGUGUUUGUUCUUCUGAGUGUUAGUUUCUUCCUUUUGGCAUAUUUCUCUUUUUCCUUUUCUCAACUGUGGUUUUCAGCUCGAGGAAAAUGGUUUUUUUCAUGUGAAAGUGAUUUUGCAAUCUUUGGCCUUGCUGUUUGAGCAUCGCUUGCAUUUAACUUUUUCCCCCCUUGGUUCUCUCUAUUUUUAGCUCCUAAUGAAUGCAUAUAUGACCAUUUAGGGUCCUUUUGAUUGAGAGUUCCAACAUCUUUUUCUCUUUUACUUUUGGUUCGAUUGAAGAGAGGACAAACUGGGUCUGCCUAACUGUACUUUGCCCCCAUUUUCUUUUUUCACUGGUCUAGACGAGUUGUUUGGUAGAAGGGGUGUUGCCUUUGGUUACCAAUUUAUUAGUACCUUCUCUAUCUCGUGUUUUAUUUUUGCGAUAAAAUCUUGCUCCGAGUACCUUAUGUGUGCUUGUGUAUGUUUCUUGCAAGAUGAAUGAUAACUACCUUCACCAUUAGCCUUACAAGAGAAAGUGCUCAUUUUAUCCCUUAAAUAGCAACUAUCUCUAUAUUUGUCUUACCUUCCCCAACAUCCUUCAAUCAGAUGAAGAACUUGACUUCCUACAAUGCGAUCUGUUUAAUGAUGUAGAUAUUGCCAAUCGGCUCCUUGAUAAUGCUGUCAUACUACUUCGCCACCAGAAUAUUCUCUCCUGGGCACUGAUGCAUUUGUUACUUGGUAAAUGUGUGUAGCUUGGCCUAUGGAGUUAUUUGACACUGCAAUGAUUUGAUUAGUUUACUAAAUGAAGUUUGUAGCAAAUUGCUAAAUGGAUUUUUGCCUUUUGUAACUAUUUUGGACAUUUCUAAACCUUAUUUAGAAAAACAAUAGUCAAAAGCUAUUGCCCCUUGAGGGAAAAAAUAAUGAAUGGAGAUUAGAGCAUGGAUUUAGCCUGGAGACCCAUAUUCUGAUAUUUCAAACCAUGGCAUGGCUGGAGUAUCGUCAUCCCACUAGCAGACUAGGUGCAGAAGGAUAUGCUUGUAUUUUAUUGAAUGAUUUAGGUUUGAGUCAAUUUAUUAGCACUCCAUAAUUUUGGUUUUAUAUUGAGAAUUCGACUUAGGUUGAUUAUUCACAAUGCGAAUUAAAAUGGUAGAAUUUGAUAGCUAAACCUCACCCCCAAAAAAGGGAUUCAUUUGGUCUUUUAUACCUCUUUGUUGUCAUUUUUAUGUGUCAUUGCCCUCUAGUUGGAGGCUCUCUGUAAUUAUAAUGCCUUGUAUCACACACUGGGUAAAUUGUAUUAAUAUCUUUUUAGUUUUAUAUGCAGCUUCGGCGAGCUUCCAGACCUAUUGUAUGGAGCUUAUGAUAUCAAUAGGUGAUGUAACUGGUAAUUUUACAUGCAGGAGUGCCUUGUCUGGUUGGUCAGUCAGCCCUCUUCAGGAAUAUUGGGUUAUUCCCUGCAGUUAUGGGCAUUUGGAUGGAAUCAAUAGAAGUAUUUGGUUAUUCUAUUUUGCUAGGUGAAAGUGCUCAACUGAAUUGUUAGUACUUGCCUGAAAUGCCGCACUAGGCAUUUCAACAGCUAAACUUUCAAGUUAUAUUCUUGGCAGUCUCUACACUAGAGCUUUGCCUUUGCCUGAAGUUCUGAAAUGAUAUAUUCUGUGUGAAACUCGUGGGGAAGUUUCUGCGUUAGUGGAGUAUGUUAAGGAUGUUAUUGGUAUAACUAUGAAAUUAGUAACAUACAAGGAAUGUGAACUUUCACAUUUGAUUUUUUUUAUUUGUAAUAAUGUCGUGUCGCGUAAAACUCGUGGUUGCUUAACCGUUUAUGAGAUACAUUGUGGUGUUACAUUGUCUUUGGGAUCAAUGGUGUUCUUGUGUUGCAACUAUCAUAAUGUUCGACCUUCUUUUCUUUAUUAUUGUU